This 492-nucleotide ribosomal RNA is filed under the name uncultured bacterium. RNAcentral's name for it is "partial 16S ribosomal RNA". It matches the Rfam family "Bacterial small subunit ribosomal RNA", at positions 29 to 507 of the family's 1533-position model. The record is from RNAcentral.
AGUGAACGCUGGCGGUAGGCCUAACACAUGCAAGUCGAACGACAGCACAGUAAGAGCUUGCUCUUACGGGUGGCGAGUGGCGGACGGGUGAGGAAUACAUCGGAAUCUACUUUUUCGUGGGGGAUAACGUAGGGAAACUUACGCUAAUACCGCAUACGACCUACGGGUGAAAGCAGGGGAUCUUCGGACCUUGCGCGAUUGAAUGAGCCGAUGUCGGAUUAGCUAGUUGGCGGGGUAAAGGCCCACCAAGGCGACGAUCCGUAGCUGGUCUGAGAGGAUGAUCAGCCACACUGGAACUGAGACACGGUCCAGACGACUACGAGAGGCAGCAGUGGGGAAUAUUGGACAAUGGGCGCAAGCCUGAUCCAGCCAUACCGCGUGGGUGAAGAAGGCCUUCGGGUUGUAAAGCCCUUUUGUUGGGAAAGAAAAGCAGCAGGUUAAUACCCCGCUGUUCUGACGGUACCCAAAGAAUAAGCACCGGCUAACUUCGUG